GUUUGUGACUAUACUAGCCUCUGUGUUAAUCGAAUGAUCUCAAAAUAUCUAUACUUUUAAUUUUUUAUUGUGUGUAUGCACGUAUUUUUCUAAAAUGAGGCCCCUAUUAGGACCACGCACUGUGUGUCGCUGCUGUGUUCUUGCAUAUAAAAAUUCAUGAAAUGAACAUAUAUCAUCUACCAAUAGAUAUAUAUAAUAAAAAAAUAUAUAUAAUUUAUAAAUUGAUAGAGAUGUACCUACAGGAGGAUGAUGCUACGAUGCCAUGACCUCCGAUUGGGCAGGC
This 283-nucleotide long non-coding RNA is filed under the name Elaeis guineensis (African oil palm). Its description in RNAcentral is "long non-coding RNA (EGUI_LNC038418)". Lineage: Eukaryota; Viridiplantae; Streptophyta; Magnoliopsida; Arecales; Arecaceae. The record is from RNAcentral.